Molecule: transfer RNA, 117 nt
Filed under: Promethearchaeota archaeon
Lineage: Archaea; Promethearchaeati; Promethearchaeota
Description: Candidatus Lokiarchaeota archaeon (marine sediment metagenome) tRNA-Leu
Rfam family: tRNA
About the family: Transfer RNA (tRNA) molecules are approximately 80 nucleotides in length. Their secondary structure includes four short double-helical elements and three loops (D, anti-codon, and T loops). Further hydrogen bonds mediate the characteristic L-shaped molecular structure. tRNAs have two regions of fundamental functional importance: the anti-codon, which is responsible for specific mRNA codon recognition, and the 3' end, to which the tRNAs corresponding amino acid is attached (by aminoacyl-tRNA synthetases). tRNAs cope with the degeneracy of the genetic code in two manners: having more than one tRNA (with a specific anti-codon) for a particular amino acid; and 'wobble' base-pairing, i.e. permitting non-standard base-pairing at the 3rd anti-codon position.
Source: RNAcentral
GCGGGAAUUGCCAAGUCUGGUCAAAGGCUAUAAUGAGUUGAUCGAAAGCUGACUUUAGGCGGUGGACUUAGAAUCCAUUCUCGUAGGAGUUCGGGAGUUCAAAUCUCCCUUCCCGCA